UGCCUGACUGGCCUUUUUGCUGAAUAUUUGCUUAGCGAUGGGUGGAAAGGAGAAAGUUGCGGCAUACUUUUUAUUCUCGUCUUCUCUGCAGGCGUUCGACAGCGUGAAGGAAGGGUGGAGGGUGCCUUCUUUCUUUAUUUUUUUUCCUCCUCUCUUCUUCUUUUCCCUCCUUUCUACUGAAUUAUUCAUAGUGUCAGUGGUGAAGCCAGGACUAUUAGCAUGCAUCAGACAUGCUGUUUGUCUGUUUGCUAACAUUCUUCAUUCAAGACUUGUUAACUACCAGACAAGCUUAACACGCUUCUUUUUUUCCCCUCCCCUCCUCUCUUCCUCCGUCUCUCUCUCUCUCUCUUCGCCUUCCCUCCCUCCUUCCCUCCCUCCCCUCGCCCCUUCCCUUCCUUUCCCUUCCUUUCCUUUCCCUUCCCUUCCCUCGCAGCCGCCCAUUGUUGCCGCCGGGCGCUGGCAGCCGGGGGCAGUUGCGGCCGGAGCGGGCGGAGGAGCGGCCGCCGGUUGCUAGGAGGCUGCAGAGCUGCAAGGUGAACACCAGCACCACCAGCACAUCGGCGGCUCCCCGGGGCUGGCUCCCCACCCUGCACAGGUGUAUCUCUCAGCCUGGAUGUAGUCUCCCUGUAAGGAGUGUGAAAGUUACAUGAGAAGAAUUACAGUUUAACACUGAAAAAGCUCUUCCUCAUCUGAACUGUCAUUCAAAACGCAGAAUGAAAGGAGACAAAUAGGUUUUCUAUCAUGCUGUCUGCAGGACUCCUGGAAGAUUUUUCUGAAACUUGAGUGUAUCUGUCUCAGGCUGCCUCUAAAGAGAUGAAGCAUGAAACUCCAAAAGGAACUCAGAAUACAAAGAGAAGACAUUUGAGAGUAAUCUGCAAGGUGUUCAGGAUGCUUGCACUAAUUAAAACCAGCAGACAUUAUUAUCUCCAUGAUUGGAAUUUGCAGCUCAGUGAUGUAAUGUUUACUGCACUGAAGAGCUCUGGUACAACCUUUGAAAAGUCUUGAGGGAUCAUUCCUAGAUUCAUUCUCAACAUGCAAACUGGAGUCUGCUUACUGUUGUCUGUUCCAGAUAAGAUGUCAAAGCAAGCAAAGGAGACUUAGAAGUAGUGUGUGACUCAGGAAAGAAGUAUUUGAAAGAAUGACAUAGUGGGGAAUCAAGCUGGAAGAUGAAAUAAGUGAAGAGUGGUCAUCUAUGCAGAGGAAAUGACAAGGUUUCAUCUCCCCUGGACACUGGCCUCACCUGAUUUCUGAGCAUUAGGAUCUGGUAAUCGCCAUUUUUGCCCUGGAGAGCUCAGGAACACAGCCCUGCAGGGGUCCCUUGUGCUGCUGCUGCUGCUCUUGCAGCCAUCCAUGUCACACCUCGCAGUCACCUUAGACCUGGACAGAAAGCACAUUGGGGUGAACAGAACACGACUGGGAAGUCCCCAUAUCAGUUAUGCUGAAAGCAGUAGCAGAUUACUUCAGUUACCCUGAAAUGUGACCUACAACCUUUGGGGUGAGAUCUGCUUUAUAGUGAAACAUCACUUUAAUUUAUCUGUGGCUUAUGUAUGUAUCAUUUAGCAAUUUCUUUAGCUGUUAACAAAAAGUAAGUUAGCUGAUUAAGUUAGGGUGUUUGCUUUCAAAGUUCACUUAUUUAUUAAAGCAAUAUUUAUAUUACAG
This is a long non-coding RNA of Melopsittacus undulatus (budgerigar), 1659 nucleotides long. RefSeq lists it as uncharacterized. The transcript is spliced from 9 exons. NCBI's taxonomy places the organism in Eukaryota, Metazoa, Chordata, Aves, Psittaciformes, Psittaculidae. The record is from RefSeq and is a predicted model, not a curated record.